This 1348-nucleotide ribosomal RNA is filed under the name metagenome. RNAcentral describes it as "bacterial LSU rRNA". It matches the Rfam family "Bacterial large subunit ribosomal RNA", at positions 1564 to 2925 of the family's 2925-position model. The record is from RNAcentral.
UGAGUACGAGCGGCUACGGCCGCGAAGUGGAUGAUGUCAAGCUUCCAAGAAAAGCCCUAUACCCGUUAAGGCAUGAUGGCCUGUACCCGAAACCGACACAGGUGGGGUGGUAGAGAAUACCGAGGGGCGCGAGGUAACUCUCUCUAAGGAACUCGGCAAAAUGGCCCCGUAACUUCGGGAGAAGGGGUGCCACCGCGAGGUGGUCGCAGUGAAGAGGCCCAGGCGACUGUUUACCAAAAACACAGGUCUCCGCUAAGUCGCAAGACGAUGUAUGGGGGCUGACGCCUGCCCAGUGCCGGAAGGUUAAGGAAGCUGGUCAGCGCAAGCGAAGCUGGCGACUGAAGCCCCGGUGAACGGCGGCCGUAACAAUAACGGUCCUAAGGUAGCGAAAUUCCUUGUCGGGUAAGUUCCGACCCGCACGAAAGGCGUAACGAUCUGGGCGCUGUCUCGGAGAGAGGCUCGGCGAAAUAGAAUUGUCUGUGAAGAUGCGGACUACGUGCACCCGGACAGAAAGACCCUAUGAAGCUUUACUGUAGCUUGGUAUUGUGCUCGGGCUCGGAAUGCGCAGGAUAGGUGGGAGGCUUUGAUCCAUUGCUUGCGGGUGAUGGUGAGCCACUGGUGAGAUACCACUCUUUCCGAGCUAGAGUUCUAACAGCAACCCGUUAUCCGGGUGCUGGACAGUAUCAGGUGGGCAGUUUGACUGGGGCGGUCGCCUCCUAAAAGGUAACGGAGGCGCGCAAAGGUCUGCUCAGGCUGGUUGGAAAUCAGCCGACGAGUGUAAAAGCAGAAGCAGGCUUGACUGUGAGACCUACAAGUCGAACAGGGAGGAAACUCGGCUUUAGUGAUCCGACGGUUCUGCGUGGAAGGGCCGUCGCUCAACGGAUAAAAGUUACUCUAGGAUAACAGGCUGAUCUCCCCCAAGAGUUCACAUCGACGGGGAGGUUUGGCACCUCGAUGUCGGCUCAUCGCAACCUGGGGCUGAAGUCGGUCCCAAGGGUUGGGCUGUUCGCCCAUUAAAGCGGUACGCGAGCUGGGUUCAGAACGUCGUGAGACAGUUCGGUCCAUAUCCGGUGCACGCGCAGGAAUAUUGAGAGGAUUUCUCCCUAGUACGAGAGGACCGGGAGGAACGCACCUCUGGUGUGCCAGUUAUCGUGCCAACGGUAAACGCUGGGUAGCCAUGUGCGGAGUGGAUAACCGCUGAAAGCAUCUAAGUGGGAAGCCCACCUCAAGAUGAGUAUUCCCAUGGCAUAAGCCAGUAAGGUCACGGGAAGAACACCCGUUGAUAGGCUCUACGUGGAAGCGCAGUAAUGUGUGAAGCGGAGGAGUACUAAUAGACCGAGGGCUUGAC